This 484-nucleotide ribosomal RNA is filed under the name uncultured bacterium. Its description in RNAcentral is "partial 16S ribosomal RNA". It matches the Rfam family "Bacterial small subunit ribosomal RNA", at positions 29 to 507 of the family's 1533-position model. The record is from RNAcentral.
AUUGAACGCUGGCGGCAUGCUUUACACAUGCAAGUCGAACGGCAGCGCGGGCUUCGGCCUGGCGGCGAGUGGCGAACGGGUGAGUAAUGCAUCGGAACGUGCCCAGUAGUGGGGGAUAGCCCGGCGAAAGCCGGAUUAAUACCGCAUACGACCUGAGGGUGAAAGCGGGGGACCGAAAGGCCUCGCGCUAUUGGAGCGGCCGAUGUCGGAUUAGCUAGUUGGUGGGGUAAAGGCUUACCAAGGCGACGAUCCGUAGCUGGUCUGAGAAGACGACCAGCCACACUGGGACUGAGACACGGCCCAGACUCCUACGGGAGGCAGCAGUGGGGAAUUUUGGACAAUGGGGGCAACCCUGAUCCAGCCAUGCCGCGUGCGGGAAGAAGGCCUUCGGGUUGUAAACCGCUUUUGUUCGGGAAGAAAUCCUCUGGGCUAAUACCCCGGGGGGAUGACGGUACCGGAAGAAUAAGCACCGGCCAACUACGUG